Molecule: long non-coding RNA, 1897 nt
Organism: Dromaius novaehollandiae (emu)
Lineage: Eukaryota; Metazoa; Chordata; Aves; Casuariiformes; Dromaiidae
Exons: 5
Source: RefSeq, a predicted model, not a curated record
CCGCAUGCGCAGACCCGCUCCCCUCCUUGGCCUCGAAGCUGUUCUGCAAGAGAGACCCGCCGCGCCCUGAGCCGCGGGCCCGCGCCGCGUGACGCCACCGCCCCGCCGCCUGCGUCAGCGCCCGCCGCCGUGAGGAGCGAAAGUUUGAAAGCUCUCCGACACUGGCUGCGCCCGUUUGCAACAUUUCUAUACAUUUCUGUGGGGAAGGAAAUGAAUGCUUUUAAGCUGAAGAAUCAAUGUUGUAUCAGCUAAGAUUCCCCCCUCCCUUCGUCACUGAAAGGCUGCUUUUAUUCCAGACGUGUGAUUACAGGUAGAAAAACCCUACCAGCACAUUCUGGGGAAUGACUGAAGGACGUGACUUUUCACGUUAAAACGACUUUGAUCCCAUGGCAAACCUUUGCUGGAAAAGCCAGCCUUUCCCGGGGUGGAGGGCCGCACGCAGCCCGCUCGUGCUCCGAGCUGGAAGACUGCCUCCCAGAAACGAAUCUGCCCACACUGACAGCUCGAUUGAGGGUGAUUGAUGACUAUCUGGAGACCACGCUUGCCUGAUCUAUUCCUUUACCAGUCAGCAUUGUGCCAAUUCCAAUCUGUAUUCCCUAGAAACAGUCAUUGAGGGGGGGACCCUUAAUAUUUAUAGCACAAAACAGUCAGUUUCUACAAGCUGACAUUACAUCUUCCCCAAACGUUCACGACUUGUUUCAUUUACAAUCUACAAAUAACGGCCCUUUGUUAAUAAAAAACUCGAAGUUGUAUUUCGUCGUGAAUUUCUGGUGCCAGAGCACAAACAUGCAAUAAGCCCCACAAUGAUUUAAAAUAAUCUUUGUGGUUCUCGCACAUUAACAACGUAACACUGUUCAAAUCCAAGUAAACACGCUUCAUGCUGUGGGCUAUAUCCUUAAGCAUUUGGAAAAUGUAAGUAUUUGCUGUGCAAUAAAAAUUGAUCCUUGCCAAGCCCCUUGCCUGUGCAAAACAGUUAACAGCAUUCGAGAAACAUAAACAAGCAGUGCUUUCUCCAAAGUUUAAGAAAGUAAAACCCUCUCGAUCAAUAGGAAACACUGGAGAGUUUCCCUCGUGUAAGAGUAAGCUCGCACACACAGAAGAACAGCUAUUCUGGAACCAAAGCCAAACUAAGUAUAUCUUCGAGGGUUAUGUGUUCCUUCUCCGAGAAACUGGAGCCAACGUUCAUACAAGUUUUAUCAUAAAAACAUGAAACACGAAGGAAACAUUGUGAUACUGGAACAGGCCACAGCAGGUAAAACAGAAAACCUCUUCAGGACUAAUGCUUUGAUGGACGUCUUCAGGGACGUGAUCUAGAGGCAGUUAACGCAGCUCCAGUUUUACUAUCUGCAUUUUCAUCGCCUCCUCUUUUGGAGGGGUUAUUGCCACUCCUGGAAAUAUUUCAGUGACGGAAUUUGCUUAUGGGCUAAACAGACUUUAUCAAGCUCUUUCAGUCGAGUUUGCUUUGUUUCCACGUUAAAGACUUAAAGCAACCCUGACACUGCCUGACAAACGCUGUGAAGCUCUACACGUUGCCCAUUUGGGAUCUGACAUGGAACUGGGGGCAGUCUGCAACAUUUUCAAGUAGAUUAGCUCCCAUAAAGUCGGUAUUGACAGUAAAUACGAUUUUUUCAAAGCUCAUCUGAGGUGCAAUUGCAUAUACUGCAUUGUAAACCGAGGGACGGCCAGUUCCUAUGGCGUACCUCCACAAACUUAUGUGUGCCUUGUGAUCACUAGAGCUAUAAUGACAAACAUAACAGUUGCCUAACGCCGCUAAUUAAUUUACUCAGAUUACAACUACACGUAAAACCAGUUGUUUAAAGCUAACCAUUUGAACCCUUUCGUUUUGCGGACUUCAAUCCUCUUCGCAAACAUUCUAGAUUAAAGCAGAAAGGCCUCA